GACGAACGCUGGCGGCGUGCUUAACACAUGCAAGUCGAACGAAGAGCGAUGGAAGCUUGCUUCUAUCAAUCUUAGUGGCGAACGGGUGAGUAACGCGUAAUCAACCUGCCCUUCAGAGGGGGACAACAGUUGGAAACGACUGCUAAUACCGCAUACGAUCUAAUCUCGGCAUCGAGGAUAGAUGAAAGGUGGCCUCUACAUGUAAGCUAUCACUGAAGGAGGGGAUUGCGUCUGAUUAGCUAGUUGGAGGGGUAACGGCCCACCAAGGCGAUGAUCAGUAGCCGGUCUGAGAGGAUGAACGGCCACAUUGGGACUGAGACACGGCCCAGACUCCUACGGGAGGCAGCAGUGGGGAAUCUUGCGCAAUGGACGAAAGUCUGACGGAGCAACGCCGCGGGAGUGAUGACGGCCUUCGGGUUGUAAAGCUCUGUUAAUCGGGACGAAAGGCCUUCUUGCGAAUAGUGAGAAGGAUUGACGGUACCGGAAUAGAAAGCCACGGCUAACUACGUG
RNAcentral lists this ribosomal RNA (510 nucleotides) under uncultured bacterium. Its description in RNAcentral is "partial 16S ribosomal RNA". It matches the Rfam family "Bacterial small subunit ribosomal RNA", at positions 28 to 507 of the family's 1533-position model. The record is from RNAcentral.